AUUGAACGCUGGCGGCAUGCCUUACACAUGCAAGUCGAACGGCAGCACGGGAGCAAUCCUGGUGGCGAGUGGCGAACGGGUGAGUAAUGUAUCGGAACGUGCCCAGUCGUGGGGGAUAACGCAGCGAAAGCUGUGCUAAUACCGCAUACGAUCUAUGGAUGAAAGCGGGGGAUCGCAAGACCUCGCGCGAUUGGAGCGGCCGAUAUCAGAUUAGGUAGUUGGUGGGGUAAAGGCCCACCAAGCCGACGAUCUGUAGCUGGUCUGAGAGGACGACCAGCCACACUGGACUGAGACACGGCCCAGACUCCUACGGGAGGCAGCAGUGGGGAAUUUUGGACAAUGGGCGCAAGCCUGAUCCAGCAAUGCCGCGUGCAGGAUGAAGGCCUUCGGGUUGUAAACUGCUUUUGUACGGAGCGAAGCGGCUUCCACUAAUACUGGGGGCUAAUGACGGUACCGUAAGAAUAAGCACCGGCUAACUACGUGCCAGCCGCCGCCGUAA
This 499-nucleotide ribosomal RNA is filed under the name uncultured bacterium. RNAcentral describes it as "partial 16S ribosomal RNA". It matches the Rfam family "Bacterial small subunit ribosomal RNA", at positions 30 to 523 of the family's 1533-position model. The record is from RNAcentral.